GCGAGGCCGAAAGGCGUAGUCGAUGGGAAACAGGUUAAUAUUCCUGUACUUGGUGUUACUGCGAAGGGGGGACGGAGAAGGCUAUGUUAGCCGGGCGACGGUUGUCCCGGUUUAAGCAUGUAGGCUGGUUAUCCAGGCAAAUCCGGAUAAUCAAGGCUGAGGUGUGAUGACGAGGCACUACGGUGCUGAAGUAACAAAUGCCCUGCUUCCAGGAAAAGCCUCUAAGCAUCAGGUAACAUCAAAUCGUACCCCAAACCGACACAGGUGGUCAGGUAGAGAAUACCAAGGCGCUUGAGAGAACUCGGGUGAAGGAACUAGGCAAAAUGGUGCCGUAACUUCGGGAGAAGGCACGCUGGUGUGUAGGUGAAGCCCCUGCGGGUGGAGCUGAGACCAGUCGAAGAUACCAGCUGGCUGCAACUGUUUAUUAAAAACACAGCACUGUGCAAACACGAAAGUGGACGUAUACGGUGUGACGCCUGCCCGGUGCCGGAAGGUUAAUUGAUGGG
RNAcentral lists this ribosomal RNA (506 nucleotides) under Klebsiella pneumoniae. Its description in RNAcentral is "partial 23S ribosomal RNA". It matches the Rfam family "Bacterial large subunit ribosomal RNA", at positions 1396 to 1888 of the family's 2925-position model. Lineage: Bacteria; Pseudomonadati; Pseudomonadota; Gammaproteobacteria; Enterobacterales; Enterobacteriaceae. The record is from RNAcentral.